AACUGAGGAUAAUACUGGAUAGGCAAUUAUUCCUGCAAUGGUUUUUUGUUUAAAUGUUUUUUCGCCUAAGGAUGGGUCUGCGGCCGAUUAGGUAGUUGGUUAGGUAAUGGCUUACCAAGCCGUUGAUCGGUACGGGUUGUGAGAGCAAGAGCCCGGAGAUGGAACCUGAGACAAGGUUCCAGGCCCUACGGGGUGCAGCAGGCGCGAAACCUCCGCAAUGUGAGAAAUCGCGGCGGGGGGAUCCCAAGUGCCAUUCUUAACGGGAUGGCUUUUCAUUAGUGUAAAGAGCUUUUGGAAUAAGGGCUGGGCAAGACCGGUGCCAGCCGCCGCGGUAACACCGGCAGCUCUAGUGGUAGCAGUUUUUAUUGGGCCUAAAGCGUCCGUAGCCGGUUUAAUAAGUCUCUGGUGAAAUCCUGUAGCUUAACUGUGGGAAUAGCUGGAGAUACUAUUAGACUUGAGACCGGGAGAGGUUAGAGGUACCCCCAGCGUAGAGGUGAAAUUCUGUAAUCCUG
RNAcentral lists this ribosomal RNA (512 nucleotides) under uncultured rumen archaeon. RNAcentral describes it as "bacterial SSU rRNA". It matches the Rfam family "Archaeal small subunit ribosomal RNA", at positions 138 to 650 of the family's 1478-position model. The record is from RNAcentral.